GUGAUGGAGCGGGGCGGGAACGGGGCUGGAGCGGUGCGGGAACCGGGCUGGAGGGGUGCAGGAACGCUACAGGAGUGGUGCGGGAACGCUAUAGGAACGGUGCGUGAACGCUAUAGGAGCGGAGAUGGAGCGUUAUAGGAGCGGGGUGGGAACGGGGCUGGAGCGGGGCGGGAAUGGUGCUGGAGCGGUGCAGGAGUGCUGCAGGAGCGGGGCUAGAACACCAUAGGAGCGGUGCAGGAACACUAUAGCAGCGGUGCUGGAGCAGUGCAGGAACGCUGCAGGAACGCUGCAGGAGCGGUGCAGGAAUGCUAUAGGAGCAGUGCAGUAGUGCUGGAGUGGUGCUGGAGCGGAGCUGGAGAAAUGCAGGAGCGGUGCAGGAGCAGCGCAGGAGCAGUGCUGGAGCGCUGCAGGAGCGCUGCAGGAGCGGUGAAGGAGCAGUGCAGGAGCACAGGGGGGCAGUGGGAGUAGAGCAGGUCGCUGGUGCUGGAGGGGCUCUGGGCAGCUCUGUGAUGGGCCGCAGAGCAGGGCUGGAGCAGCAGGCUGAGAUGAUUCAGGACAGUGCUCACAGGCAUUCCCAGGGCCGGAGGAGAAGGAGGUGGUGUGUGCAGGGGAGCUGCAUUCCCUGCAGGCAGCAGCUUCCCUCUGCCCUGUGCACGAAGCCUCCAUGGGCCAAUGGACCAGACGCGCGCUCAGCAUCUUCCCUGGCGUUGCUAUGAGACGGGAUCCCACGGGAUGCUGCAGUGCCAGCGCGGACCCCGGCACAGCUCAUCGGCAGGAGAACCUCUGGAUGAGGGCAGGAUGAUGGGGGACACGGCACAAAAGGCUGAGGCAAAGCACCGUGAGAGAGAAAGCCCCACACCUCUCAGGGAAACCUCAAAAGGGUCAGGGCCAACAGGAGGGAGAGCUGAGCAUCAGCAGGACGGUGCAAUCUGGAGAGAGGUCUCCAGAGGGUUUCAGGUGACCACCCUUCCUAUCAUGCUGUUUAGGAUUUUAAAAACAUCACAUAUUGUGAUGCUGGCGGCACAAAGGAGGCCCCAGCAGAGAGCAGAAGGAAGCACAAACAAGACAGACUGACCGUGCUGCUCUGCAUCCUUUGGCAUUCCCUGCCUGAGCACCUUUGGUGCAGGUGCAAACAUCAAGUUUAAAGUCCUGGGCUGCACUGACAAAGCAAAUUAGGAGGUGGCUGCUCCAAGCAGGCAGCUCAGCAGGGUCUCCCAGGCCUUUAUAUCCCUGCUGGGUUCCCCAAGCAGUCCUUGGUGAUGUUACAGGUUGGGGGACAGUGGGUGCCACAGUCUGGGCUGGUUUCAGCCUGGAGCUGGGCAGGACUGUGGUGGUAGCUGGUGGAUGGAUGGACCCCUGUCUCACCAAAACACGGGAGUCCUUCCAUAGUUUGUUGACCCUUCACCCCAAAUUCUGGUAUUUUUGAUGUGAUAUUAUUGGUAAUUUAAAACUAUGGACUCCUUUAACAUCAA
Taeniopygia guttata (zebra finch) is the source of this 1472-nucleotide long non-coding RNA. RefSeq lists it as uncharacterized. Lineage: Eukaryota; Metazoa; Chordata; Aves; Passeriformes; Estrildidae. The record is from RefSeq and is a predicted model, not a curated record.